Molecule: ribosomal RNA, 234 nt
Filed under: uncultured Alicycliphilus sp.
Lineage: Bacteria; Pseudomonadati; Pseudomonadota; Betaproteobacteria; Burkholderiales; Comamonadaceae
Description: partial 16S ribosomal RNA
Rfam family: Bacterial small subunit ribosomal RNA
Source: RNAcentral
AGAGAUGCAUUGGGCGUUAAAGCGUGCGCAGGCGGUUUUGUAAGACAGAGGUGAAAUCCCCGGGCUCAACCUGGGAACGUGCCUUUGUGACUGCAAGGCUGGAGUGCGGCAGAGGGGGAGUGGAAUUCCGCGUGUAGCAGUGAAAUGCGUAGAUAUGCGGAGGAACACCGAUGGCGAAGGCAAUCCCCUCGGGCCUGCACUGACGCUCAUGCACGAAAGCGUGGGGAGCAAACA